GAGGAUCUGGCUCAAACCCUUCAAAAUCUGAAGCCGACAUUACUUUUGCUAAUGCAACCAAAUCUUUGUCUCACUACCAUGAGUAGUUAGAGUUCAAUUAGCUAAAGGAGAAAGUUAUUCAGUGUUGGUUUCUGUAGGGAACACAGAACACAAGUUACAUCCAUGUUCUAUCAGGUCAGAAGUUAAAUCACUGAGACAAGAGGCUUAUCUCAAGCACUGGGACACAAAUUCUAUAAACAAAAGGAAAUGAAAUAUAAAGCAAAUCACCAUUGGAGGAAGUACAAGUUGCUAGAACCCUAAGUCCAAAGCCUGAAAUGUGACAGGUAUAAGAUCCAAAGGAGGCAACUUUUUCUUGGAUGCAGAUAUUACAGCAAUGUACUCUAUAUGGACAUGAAAAUCAACUUGGACCAUGAAGAUGGUGCAAAACGCAUCCUUCUUGUUAAGUUGUUUCUGCCCAUGUGAAAACAAGCAACAAACAUGUAAAGUGUGUGCUGUGUUCCUCCUCUAGUGACGGUUCACUGAAGGACAACAGCCUACCACAGCUGCAAGCUGAUGAAGUUAUCUCUUUGUCUCAAGUGAUAGAGGGAUCUGCUUUUGUUUUGAGAGUCUUAGGUUCAACUUUUGCUGAUGACUCAUAAGCAGGUGUUUGUUUGUUUUAUAUGACUCCAGUGCUUUGGCAUCUUUGUUGGCUGCCUGUUGGUUUCUAGGUACCAGCAAUGAGGGCUUGCAGCAAUGCCAAUCUGAAAUCUGACCUGCAUCAGAGCCAGUCUCCACGCAAAUUUAUGAGUAUAGCUAGCCCCUAGUAGGAUGCUUAAUUGGUUACCCUGCCAGGUUGGUUGGUUGGAAGGGUCAGCAGACCAGCUCUUAAGCCAGCAGCAGCAGUUUAAAGCAUUUGUCCAUGGUGGAGACAGCACCAGCACCUGCUUAUUCCCAGUCUUGCUCCUGUCUUAUGCCCACCUGGCCUCAGUUCAGGUAAUUCCAUACUAACCCUUGGCUCCGAUUAUUGAUCUCUGACUCCAGAUUUGACCAUUGGCUCUGACAUCUAGCUUCUGACUCAGGUUGUGAACCUGGGCUUUGACUCCUGAUGCCUGAACCAACCAGUAGGCACCACCCGCAGUAUCCUGGUCACUGAUACUAGAUGAAAUAAUAAGGUGUUUUUAAACUUACAAAGGUCUAAAUGACUUGGGACCCAACUACCUAAAACACCCGCUUUCUCUCUAUGCAAUACUGUUCAGUUAAGAUUAGUGUAGGCACUCCAACUGGAGCUCUCUUGAUCUAAAUGACCUCAUAAGACAUUCCAUGUGAGGAGCCCUUCACUCCCCACCUCCUGGCACAAAAUAGCACAAAUCUGGUUGAUGAGACCACAAAGUCUAUCUAUAUAGUCAACAUAACAUAAUAUAAGCUAACAUAAGAGUGGCCAUACUGGGUUUGAGUUCAAAAGAGAUUUGAGUUCUAUAUAAUAGUUUGUGCUGAGAAAGUCUUUUGGCAUUCUACUGUCAUUUUUUAAAUUUUUGUUCCAUUGUAUUUUUAAUUAAUCGCCAAGGACACUCAGAGCCUAGUAUUGAUGUCCUUUUGUGCUUUAUACAUUGGAAAGAAUAUGAAUAUGUAAAAUAAAUAUUCAUUUCAGAAGGAUCUGAGACACACUGGUCAUGGAAAAAUUCAGAGAUGAAAAGAUAGUGAUUAUUCACAAUUUAAUUCAUUUUUAGGAUAUGCACAAAAUAAUUCCACAAAACCAUCCAGCUUCUUCUCCUAAAAUGGAAUAAGUAAGUGCCCUCCACACCUUUACAUUAGCCUGGUUCAUUUGUUGUUUGCUAUAUUAUUUCAUGUGUUCUCUGCAGACCCAUCAUUUUAUUUUGCUGUUUAGAAAAGAAUUAAAUCUUUUUCUAAAAAAUACAUGUGCUUCACUGACAAAGCUUUCAAAUUUGCCACUGCUGUAAAAGUUAACAUUACUAUCUUUUCAUAUUAUUUGUAUUACUCCUGAAAAUGUGACAUUGGUAACAUUAAUUAGCAUCUGAUGUCAAAUUUCAUUUACUCUCUCUGACAACUGAUUUUCAGCCAUGCUGCUUACUAUAUGGUCUCCAUUACUCUGCUAUUCAGGUCUAUAAAAAGC
Mauremys reevesii (Reeves's turtle) is the source of this 2110-nucleotide long non-coding RNA. RefSeq lists it as uncharacterized. The record is from RefSeq and is a predicted model, not a curated record. The transcript is spliced from 3 exons. Lineage: Eukaryota; Metazoa; Chordata; Testudines; Geoemydidae.